UAGCUGUAACAUAGCAGCAAAUGCAAAAUUGUUUUAUAAAACUGGAUUUUAUAAAGCUGUAUUUAUAAACCCACAAGCUAUAAGACAAAAAGGGGGAAAAUAAAAGGAAAAGGGGGAAAAUAAAAUAUAAGGAACACUUCGAGUUUAGCCCACUUCUAAGCUGAAAAUGAACGUUUUCAGCAGUGUUGCUCUCAAUGUGAUCAGCAGCUGUGUUUUACUCAAAAAGGCCCUGUGAUCAUUGAGUUUAAAACCCUGGGAAACAUUGCUCUAAUAAAAUUAUUGGAAGUUACUUUUUCCCCUGUCUCUCCUGAAAGCAACUUAAUAUUGCAAUUUUUUGGAAAGGUUUGUUUUAGGACAGUCACAAGGUACACAGGCCUGAGUGUGGCAGUGCUAUACCAGACUGGCAGCGAUGCUGAGUGGCAAUAUCCAGACCCGGAUUGUGCUGGUAUCGUGGGGGUGUAAAUUUGACUUUCCAAUUGCUCCAAGAUCAGAAGCAGCUGCCAGGUGCAUGAAAGGUUGCUUGCCUCAAUGCAGGGCUGCAGUCAAAUUGGUUCCUCUGUCAUUGCAAGCCGCCUGUUUUACUAACCAGAGCGGCGGAGAGGGAUGAAGGCUGCCUAAAGCCACUGAAGGCACCCUCAUGGCUGGUGGGGCUGCCGUGGGUCCCGCCGGGAUGCGGCGGGGAGGAGAGGAGCUUCCCGGCGCUCCGCAGACGCCAGCCAUCCCACCUGCUGUUAAUUUUCCACUUCCUCCUCUCCCAGACCUGAACCAUCUCCUGCUCCUUUGUCAGCGCCUUCUGCAGAUGUUUUAAAAGCGACUGGCAAGCUUCCUUGCUGCAGGGGCUGCUCAGCUUCUAUCCUCCUCCUCCACAGAGAAAAGACCCUAACCUGAGGGGCGUUUGCAAGUGUGAAAAAUGACGCUAAGGCUCCUUUCCCUAUCUCCUAAUUUUUAAAGAUUUGGUGUAUCAGGCUCGGUGGUCUUUCCAAGUGCCUGCCGUGCCCCUCCUGCUUCCCCCGAGCCCAAUGCUGCUGGUUGUCACUCACUUAGAGAAGCCGUGGAGGCCUGACCCUGUGCAUUGACAUCCACGGGACCUUUGCCAUUAACGUUAUUGCUCCCAGCAUCGAUCCCCAUGCGAGAUGAGACCGGUACCCUCGUUUGGGGUGUGAGGCUGGGGCCCCCCGCCGUCGGGUUCCUGCUGGAGGAGACUUCGUGCCUGUGUGUCUGCCAAGGAGAGAUGUCGGAGGGGAUGCGCCUUCUUCCAGGCUGCAUCAGCUCCUCCGGUACGUGCGUACCGUAUAACAUGUAGGUUUGGUUUGAGCGUACCAGCCACCCGAGGCGGUUCUUCUGCUGCGUGAUGAUAACGGGACUGACCAAAACUGUAGCUAAAACACCCAACCCCGACAUUUUGCCGCUAUGAACCAUGGGGCUGGGAAUGGCCACCUUUCCAAAGCCUCAUCUGCGGUGGGUUGCGUGGUGGUUCAUUUUCCCCAUGGAAAAACGAUAGCAAAGAGGGGAGGGGAGCGGGCCUUGCGCUUUCGAAGGGACGUGUUUCAGUUCGGCACGGGGCAGCGAGUGAGGUGGGCUCGGGUGGGCUGAUGCCUGACCCGCAGCCCCCCGGUCCCCAAGCCACGGCGUACCCGGCUGCAAGCCCACCAGCGCAGGGCUGUAGCUCCCGCGGCUCCUCGAGCCCUGGAUUUCACAAAAUUUGAAAAGAAAUCUGGGUUUCUGUCUUGGCAGUGGUAUUAUUUGGAGGUUGGAAGGGGCUGCACGGGGCUUGUUCCCAGUUCUCCACGGCCAUUGGCAAGAACUUACUCUGUGUGUCUUCUUCUGCAGCACAUCCCCCAAAUGGGCAUUUAAUCAGGUGCCAGUGUAGGAAAUAGACAGCUUUCACCCAUCUUACCGCUUCCAUCAACCAUUCUGCGGUGCGGGGGCGAUCCUGCAUCCCUCCCUGAGCCGUCCCCAGGUCUCCUUCAGCUGCCAAAGCGCUGCGUCGGAAGCAGGAGCAGGCUUGGGCAUGGCUGAGGAGGCCAGCGCUGGAGCUAGUGCCCGGUCAGGGGGCUACGGGGGAUGCCCCUGCUCCUCUCCAGGAUCUCCAGUGCCUUGAGACCCAGCAGCAUCACCUCGGGCCGUCAGCCAGAGCCGAGGGGUGAGUGCUGCAGUUUUUCCCUCUGGCGCAGCCCUGGGAAAAGCGCUGAGACCUGUUCAUCAGAUCUUCUCCCUCCUCCCACCACAGGGAAAUGGGGAAAGAAAAACCUGCUCCCUCCUCUCCUGGCCAGGAUGGGAAAGAGAAGCUGUAUUUACUUUCCACUGUCUUGUAGCUGGGAGGAGGAGAAAAGAGGAUGUGGAAAGGGAGAAAGGGGAGGCUCGGGGCAGGGGGAUCCCUAUCGAUGACCAUACUGGGGUCCGCCGAAACCUGAAAUGGGAACACAAGUUGAGCAGUCUGCGGUGUGGCAUCCCCACUUGUAGAGAAAACAUUUACUGAGUUGUACGGUAACAGUGCAGGGCAAACGGGGAAGGUGACCCAGAGAAAAAUCUGUCCCAUCCGUGGUUGUGUCAGGGGUGUUGCUGGAUGUUAUUUAUAACAUUUAAUUACUAUUAUUUUUACUUGUCCCAGUUCUUCCCAGCCAGAGAAGGUCACUGAAGCCAUUGCUCAGGAAAGAAAAUGGCGUUAAGCUGGUAAAAAAGAGUGAAACUCCUGUGGUGUUUGGGGUUUUUUUCUUUUCGUAAUUUUGCCAUUCUCACUUUGGUGGGCGCUGAGAUUUCCUACACACCUCACCUGAACGAGAGCGGAGAGUGGCAGUUAAAAAGAUGGGGAAGGGCACAGCGGUACAGAGGUAUGGAGGAAUGGAGAUAAAGAUUUGAGUCCAGGACAUCUAGGGCUAAGUCAGUUCAAAGGUCCCCGACGAGGGUUUGUCUCAGGGAGGAAUGUGCUUCACUCCCCAUUAAAAUGGUCCUACGUGGAGGUAGCGAUGCUGUGCCAGGGUGCUCUUUCUGUGUGUGUGGGUACGGCUGUCCACGCCACCCCAGAGCUCCCGAAUCCCCCAUGUGAACAGGACCUAUCGUUUGUGGAUCAUGAAGGCCAAGUGAGGCAACAUAACCCCCUAAUCUGAUACCACGUGCAGCACAAGCCAGGUGGCUUAUUAAGUUCAACUAGAGCAUCUUUUUUUCAGAAGAAACAAGCAAACAACUGAACAUUUGGGACAGAAUAAUUUCCAGCAACAGAGAGUCCACAGCAUCGCUGGGAACAAUUCUUACAGGCUAUCUGAAUUAUCCAGAAACUGCCAAGGCAGAUUUAUACUUGAACUGGAUUACAAGGAAAUACACUGCAAACCACUGCAACAAAUCAUUACUAAUCACAAUCAAUCGGAGUGAUUAAAGCUCUGACAUCUCUCCUGGAGUUGCAUUAAUGAAUGAGAAAUUGCAUGCAAAUGGCACUGCAGUUCUUGGUCCCAGCCAGAUGUCAUGCCUGUCAUCCCCCCUCUCACCCAGCGCGUUGCAAGGUUUUCCCUUGGGCCGAUGUCCCGAUAAAUGGCUUUUCCAUCCUGGGUGAAAUUUCCAUGGGAGGACUGGGGACAUUUAUCCCAGAGAAAGAAGGAAUGCUGUAGCUUGUUACACCCUAAAAAGAUGAUAACCCCUAUAGACUAGUCACACCCUUACUCAGGUAAAAUAUGUUCAGACUAGCUAACUUAUCUCUUCGCAUGUAAGAUGUCUGUGGUAUUCUUCUCAACUUCCUGUGCCUAACUGCUGGUGCUAUGGUUGCUAUACAUGGCCAAGAAGCUAUGCUUUCCCACCCCAGACACGAACAGAGAGCUCCAGCAUAUAUUUAUCUUUUUUUGCAUACUUCACAGAAAUAUUUCGAAGCUUAAGAAGUCUCUCGGGCUAUGUUUGUUCAGUGUUUCAAUAACCUCCUGUGAAAAUGCUUUACAAAGAAUUAUUCUUCUUUCUGGUCCGCGAUGAUUUAUUUAUUCCUCCAACUCAGUGUUUGCUUCAUGCUGAUUAUAAGGGCCAUAAAACCAUGGCACCGAAAUGCAUCAUUUCCAGAGGACGCUUGCUCUCUUUGCUGGGAGAAGACAAGGAAUCGCACCCCAGAGGAUGCUGCCCAGACGGAGGACGGAGCCUGCUCUCCUGGGGCUGUGGAGCGGGGCGAUGAGAUGCAGCCGUGCCAGAAGCCCGCCGUCGCCAGCGCUGGCCGGGAGCAGAGGGUGAUGGAUGCCCCCGGGUAUCUUCAUGGCUGACAGCAUCUGAGGAAGGUCCCAUAAAGCGUAAUCCUUAAUUCAUCUCCUCGGGAGCCCAGAAAGGCUGAUGUAGUUGGUGGGACGUGCGUGAAUUUGAGCCCUUCGUAGACAGAACAGGACAACAGUUCCUCCGUGCCCACUGCGCUGGCGUGCACGACAGAAGCCUUCUAUAAUGCCCCUGUGUUUUAACCUCAUCCAAACCAGCCAAAAUAAAAAAAGAAGCCACACAUGACCCAGUGCCCGCCUGCCCAUGCCCCCCGGCAGACAGAGGAGAACGCCUGCCGCCCGCCUGCAGACAUCGGUGCUCGCGCCUGGGAGUGCAGCGGCGUAACUGCUGAGUGGUGAAUACCAGUUUAUCGUGUUCUGGGAUCCUUCCCCAGGUACACCCACUCCAUGUGCCUCUUUCCUGUUUAGAGGGGAGAUUAUCUCGGCCCAUCAACACCCCUGUAGGGAAAUGAUGGCUUUGUGCAGCUCUCCUCCGCUGUGGCAGAGGGAAUGGCGAGGAUGCCCGGCGUAAGGAAACCCGUGCACCACAGGACCUGUCCUCCGGGCUGCUCUGCUGCCGAGUGCCCUUUUGAGGCCACCUCCUUCAGCCGCUGCGCAGCCAUAAACCAUGCCCACGCUGCAUCUGCAGCACUGGGAGCACCUUCGGAUCGGCGGGGUUUCGCAGCCGCUGGAAGAGGCGGUGCUGGGAAGAGAUGUCGACGCCUGCUUUAGGAGGCUCCCAUAUCCCAGCGCAGCGUGGAUGUCCCUCAAAGGCUGGGAGGGAUGACCCAGAUCCAGUGCAUCGUAUCUCCCCCAGGGUGUUGCUGCAAAGCGGUGCUUCUUGACGCAAUUGCCUCUCAGUGACAGGAAUGAGGUAGGUGUGCUUUAAUAAAGAGCGGCUUUAGCUUCGCUGUGAGUCCCCGCGUGGGAGGAUGGCCCCGCUGUGGUUCAGCGCUGUGGGUGGGUUCAGCCCACUCCUCCGCACAGCCACUGGCCCCAGGCGCUGCGGGAUCACCCCUCUGGCUCUGGGCAAAAGUCGCCUGAAAUCUCUCCUUGCCGGUGGUGCCGGUGUUGGUGAAGGAGGCGAUGAGCUGGACUGAUAAUCGUGUCUUCUGCCGAACAAGAGAUAAGCAAACACUUGAGGAGGAAGAAACUAGUGAGGGGAGAAAAAAGAACCUGUAUUUCUCACGGUAUCAGGACACUAGUGCUUGGCUAACAGGCCGAUGCGAGCUGGGCUUGUUUCGAGCCAGAAUGUUUUGAAAGGGCAAAAGGGCCAGCUGACCUUGGAGGCCGAUCGUCCUCCUCCUGUUGUAGAAGUCGAAGGGCUGUCUCUCCAGUAGGUCUCCUUUGAUUUAAUACUCACCUGAAAGGAAUCAGGAGUGCCUCCACAAGCACCUAAUGCUUCUGUGAGCCUGCAGCUCAUCCCUACAAAUGUGCGCACUGUUCUGCAUGUGCCAGAGUUUCAGCUCAUGGGUUAUCACAGAGCAUUUUCUGCUUCAUUAUUUUCAUAGUCUUUGUAAGAAUUCCCUAUUUUUACCCUCAGCUCUUACUUACUGAGUUAAAGGCAUGCACUUGCAGAGGAUGUUCAUCCGUGGCAUUCACCCCAGGUUACCUGGACGGCUGCCUGAGAGCCUUCAUGUUUGUUCUUACCUUCAUGACCCCUUGUCCCAUGGUGUAGCUUCUCUCAGAGAAACCUGGCCUGUGACCCUAGCUUUGCUCCUCCAUUCCUGUGAACAGUUUUAUGGUUUGCAUGUCCGAGGCUGUGUUCUGCUUUUCUAUCUAUCUAGUUCACAAAUACUCAGCGCUGAAAUGAUCCUCUAACUCUGAGCCGACCAUGAGAUGCUGUGUGCAGCAAAAGCAGGUUCGCUCUUCAAAACCUUUCCUGCUGCCUCUUGGUGCAGCAUCACUUUGUGAAUCAGUGUCUCACUUCUAACGGUGAAGAGUCCCAUUCAUAGUCAAGAUGAUGUUUCUGGCACUGAACAUAGCUGUCUUCUGAAAAGUCUCUCCUGCUCCUCUUUAACCUUUCCCUUUUUGACUGUGCGGGUUGUGCAUGCUCUGCUUCUCAGGAGCUACUAGAAGCCCUUGUCUGAAGACUCUUGCAAAAAGGUUUUGCUUCUUUUAAGUGAAAGAGAUCUUUAGAGAGCCAGACGCUGCUAGUGUAUGUUUCUUUCCAUGCUUUAGACAGUCUUCCAUGCCAUUUUCCGUGAGCUCAUUCUCGGUGCUUCUUGCCGGUGUCUCCCUGGACCCUUAGUUUGCAUCCCCUUUCCGCACACACUGCUUUAAAGUAUUUCUUCCUACCUUCACGAAAAGACAAAGAAAUCCUCUCACCAUGGUCGGUGCAUUCCCAAGAUAUUUCAACACCCUGGAAUCCCUGGUUGCUGCUGCGACGUUCCCGCUCCGCUGGUCGCCCUGCUGCCCCAUCGCUCUUUGCCCCCCCCUCCACUUCUGAUAUGAAAUCAGCGUUCUCUGCUGGUAGAUA
This is a long non-coding RNA of Aquila chrysaetos chrysaetos, 6696 nucleotides long. RefSeq lists it as uncharacterized. NCBI's taxonomy places the organism in Eukaryota, Metazoa, Chordata, Aves, Accipitriformes, Accipitridae. The transcript is spliced from 3 exons. The record is from RefSeq and is a predicted model, not a curated record.